Molecule: ribosomal RNA, 496 nt
Filed under: uncultured bacterium
Lineage: Bacteria
Description: bacterial SSU rRNA
Rfam family: Bacterial small subunit ribosomal RNA
Source: RNAcentral
GAUGAACGCUGGCGGCGUGCCUAAUACAUGCAAGUCGAACGCAUUGUGGUUGAAAUGAUAUGAAGAACUUGUUCAGAUUUGAUUUUCAACAUUGCAAUGAGUGGCGAACGGGUGAGUAACACGUGGGAAACCUACCUCUUAGCAGGGGAUAACAUUUGGAAACAAAUGCUAAUACCGUAUAAUAAUUAAAACCGCAUGGUUUUAGUUUAAAAGAUGGUCUUGCUAUCACUAAGAGAUGGUCCCGCGGUGUAUUAGUAGUUGGUGAGGUAAUGGCUCACCAAGACAAUGACACAUAGCCGAGUUGAGAGACUGACCGGCCACAAUGGGACUGAGACACGGCCCAUACUCCUACGGGAGGCAGCAGUAGGGAAUCUUCCACAAUGGACGAAAGUCUGAUGGAGCAACGCCGCGUGUGUGAUGAAGGGUUUCGGCUCGUAAAACACUGUUGUAAGAGAAGAAUGACAUUGAGAGUAACUGUUCAAUGUGUGACGGUAUC